UCCUGGUUUCCCAGGCAGUCCCGUCAGAGUGCCUUACUUACGUAAGUAGCAACUGACAGCAAGGGUUGCGCUCGUUACAGGACUUAACCCAACAUCUCACGACACGAGCUGACGACAGCCAUGCAGCACCUGUGCAAUUGUCCCGACCGAAGCCGGGAAGACCGUGUUUCCACAGCUAUCAAGAGCAUGUCAAAUCUAGGUAAGGUUCCUCGCGUAGUGUCGAAUUAAACCACAUGUUCCACCGCUUGUGCGGGCCCCCGUCAAUUUCUUUGAGUUUUAGUCUUGCGACCGUAGUCCCCAGGCGGAUCACUUACCGCGUUAGCUACGAUACUAAUCCUAUAAAUAAGACUAACAUCUAGUGAUCAUCGUUUACAGCGUGGACUAC
RNAcentral lists this unclassified non-coding RNA (385 nucleotides) under uncultured bacterium. RNAcentral describes it as "contains 16S-23S intergenic spacer region". The record is from RNAcentral.